CGGUAAUUCCAGCUCCAAUAGCGUAUACUAACGUUGUUGCAGUUAAAAAGCUCGUAGUUGGAUUUCUGAUCUUUGCCAAUGGUUGUGUCGCCGCGUGCGAGGCGCCUUGCGCAGAGGUCAACAUAUGUCACGAGCCAGUGUGAUCUAUUCAUUUAGGUCCACUGGGUAAUGACUCGUUUACUUUGAGAAAAUUAGAGUGUUCAAAGCAGGCAUUUGCCUUGAAUAUGUUAGCAUGGAAUAAUAGCAUAGGACUUCGGUUCUAUUUGUUGGUUGUUCGAGAACUGGAGUAAUGAUUGAUAGGGACGGUUGGGGGCAUCCGUAUUCUCAAGCGAGAGGUGAAAUUCUUGGACCUUGGGAAGACGAACAGCUGCGAAAGCGUUUGCCUAGGACGUUCUCUUUAAUCAAGAACGAAAGUUGGGGGAUCGAAGACGAUCAGAUACCGUCGUAGUCUCAACUAUAAACUAUGCCAGCUAGGGAUCGGUGGGUCUUUGUCACGAGUCCAUCGGCACCUUACGAGAAAUCAAAGCAUUUGGGUUCCGGGGGGAGUAUGGUCGCAAGGCUGAAACUUAAAGGAAUUGACGGAAGGGCACCACCAGGAGUGGAGCCUGUGGCUUAAUUUGACUCAACACGGGAAAACUUACCAGGUCCGGACAUAGUAAGGAUUGACAGAUUGAAAGCUCUUUCUUGAUUCUAUGGGUGGUGGUGCAUGGCCGUUCUUAGUUGGUGGAGUGAUUUGUCUGGUUAAUUCCGUUAACGAACGAGACCCGCGCCUGCUAAAUAGUCGGCCUCACUUCUGUGGGUGUUGUACUUCUUAGAGGGACCAUCCUGGGUAUACCGGAAGGAAGUUGCGGGCAAUAACAGGUCUGUGAUGCCCUUAGAUGUUCUGGGCUGCACACGGGCUACACUGCAAGAUACAACAAGCGUCGAUCACGCCUGACUGGAAGGUCCGGCCAAUCUUUGAAUAUCUUGCGUGAUUGGGAUAGACCAUUGCAAUUAUUGGUCUUCAACGAGGAAUUCCUAGUAAACGCGUGUCAACAACACGCAUUGAUUACGUCCCUGCUCCUUGUACACACCGCCC
Molecule: ribosomal RNA, 1078 nt
Filed under: uncultured stramenopile
Lineage: Eukaryota
Description: bacterial SSU rRNA
Rfam family: Eukaryotic small subunit ribosomal RNA
Source: RNAcentral